AUUGAACGCUGGCGGCAGGCCUAACACAUGCAAGUCGAGCGGAUGAAGGGAGCUUGCUCCUGGAUGCAGCGGCGGACGGGUGAGUAAUGCCUAGGAAGCUGCCUGGUAGUGGGGGAUAACGUCCGGAAAGGGGCGCUAAUACCGCAUACGUCCUGAGGGAGAAAGUGGGGGAUCUUCGGACCUCACGCUAUCAGAUGAGCCUAGGUCGGAUUAGCUAGUUGGUGGGGUAAAGGCCUACCAAGGCGACGAUCCGUAACUGGUCUGAGAGGAUGAUCAGUCACACUGGAACUGAGACACGGUCCAGACUCCUACGGGAGGCAGCAGUGGGGAAUAUUGGACAAUGGGCGAAAGCCUGAUCCAGCCAUGCCGCGUGUGUGAAGAAGGUCUUCGGAUUGUAAAGCACUUUAAGUUGGGAGGAAGGGCAGUAAGUUAAUACCUUGCUGUUUUGACGUUACCAACAGAAUAAGCACCGGCUAACUUCGUG
Molecule: ribosomal RNA, 484 nt
Filed under: uncultured bacterium
Lineage: Bacteria
Description: partial 16S ribosomal RNA
Rfam family: Bacterial small subunit ribosomal RNA
Source: RNAcentral